Molecule: ribosomal RNA, 440 nt
Filed under: uncultured bacterium
Lineage: Bacteria
Description: partial 16S ribosomal RNA
Rfam family: Bacterial small subunit ribosomal RNA
Source: RNAcentral
CCUACGGGAGGCAGCAGUGGGGGAUAUUGCACAAUGGGGGGAACCCUGAUGCAGCGACGCCGCGUGGGUGAAGAAGCGCCUCGGCGCGUAAAGCCCUGUCAGCAGGGAAGAAAAUGACGGUACCUGAAGAAGAAGCCCCGGCUAACUCUGUGCCAGCAGCCGCGGUAAUACGGAGGGUGCGAGCGUUAAUCGGAAUUACUGGGCGUAAAGCGCUCGUAGGCGGUAUGUCAAGUCAAGGGUGAAAUCCCCGCGCUCAACGUGGGAACUGCCUUUGAAACUGGCAGCCUUGAGUACAGUUGAGGUAGGCGGAAUUCGUGGUGUAGCGGUGAAAUGCUUAGAUAUCACGAAGAACUCCGAUUGCGAAGGCAGCUUACUAAACUGUCACUGACAUUGAUGCUCGAAAGUGUGGGUAUCAAACAGGAUUAGAUACCCCUGUAGUC